UCCCUGGUGGUCCAGUGGCUAAGACUCUGUGCUCCUAUUUCAAGGGGCCUGGGUUCAAUCCCUGGUCAGGGAC
RNAcentral lists this transfer RNA (73 nucleotides) under Bos taurus (domestic cattle). It matches the Rfam family "tRNA". From Rfam's summary of the family: Transfer RNA (tRNA) molecules are approximately 80 nucleotides in length. Their secondary structure includes four short double-helical elements and three loops (D, anti-codon, and T loops). RNAcentral also lists the same sequence under 2 other names. The record is from Rfam by way of RNAcentral. Lineage: Eukaryota; Metazoa; Chordata; Mammalia; Artiodactyla; Bovidae.